GAAAACGUGUAGAGAGGGAAAAGUAAGAGCAAGUCAUUCCUUGCAGAGAGAACCAUCAUGGGCUGAGAGUGGUUUAGGAAUGUUGCUUUGAACAUGCACCCUUGAGUCUCUUUUUGAACUUUGUACAGUAGGAAAGAGCGAGUGGCUUCGUUAAAAGCCAUAAAGUGGAGAAGCGAUUGCCUUCUCUAAGCAGAGUGGAACCGCGCAAAAAAGCGCCUCUGUG
RNAcentral lists this non-coding RNA (223 nucleotides) under Halalkalibacter wakoensis. RNAcentral's name for it is "Bacillus wakoensis T-box sequence". It matches the Rfam family "T-box leader". From Rfam's summary of the family: Uncharged tRNA acts as the effector for transcription antitermination of genes in the T-box leader family. T-boxes are found upstream of many aminoacyl-tRNA synthetase genes and some amino acid biosynthetic genes usually in Gram-positive bacteria. The record is from RNAcentral. Lineage: Bacteria; Bacillati; Bacillota; Bacilli; Caryophanales; Bacillaceae.